This 227-nucleotide ribosomal RNA is filed under the name uncultured bacterium. RNAcentral's name for it is "partial 16S ribosomal RNA". It matches the Rfam family "Bacterial small subunit ribosomal RNA", at positions 106 to 334 of the family's 1533-position model. The record is from RNAcentral.
CGGGAGUAAUGUAUGGGGAUCUGCCUGAUGGGGGGGGAGUAACUACUGGAAACGGUAGCUAAUACCGCAUAAUGUCUGCGGACCAAAGCGGGGGACCUCCGGGCCUCGCGCCAUCAGAUGAACCCAUAUGGGAUUAGCUUGUAGGUAAGGUAACGGCUUACCUAGGCGACGAUCCCUAGCUGGUCUGAGAGGAUGAUCAGCCACACUGGGACUGAGACACGGCCCAG